Molecule: ribosomal RNA, 865 nt
Filed under: Exiguobacterium aestuarii
Lineage: Bacteria; Bacillati; Bacillota; Bacilli; Caryophanales
Description: partial 16S ribosomal RNA
Rfam family: Bacterial small subunit ribosomal RNA
Source: RNAcentral
CGGGGCGUGCUAUACUGCAGUCGAGCGCAGGAACCGUCUGAAGCCUUUCGGGGGAAACGGCGGAAUGAGAGGCGGACGGGGGAGUAACACGUAAAAAAACUGGGCCUAUGUCUGGGAACUACCCAAGAAAACGGGGCUAUAACCGGAUGUGUCAUCUGACCCCAUGGGCCCCUUUUGAAAAGGGCUUCCCCGUCGCCCCCGGGUGGGUUUUCGGGGCAUUAUCUAGUUGGGGGGGGAAAGGCCCCCCCAGGCGACCAUGCAUAGCCCACCUGAGAGGGUGAUCGGCCACACUGGGACUGAGACACGGCCCAGACUCCUACAGGAGGGGGCAUUAUGGAAUCUUCCCCAAUGGACGAAAGUCUGAUGGAGCAACGCCCCGUGAACGAUAAAAGGUUUCUGGUCGUAAAGUUCUGUUGUAAAGGAAAAAAAAAUGUGCCAGGCAAUGGGGGGACCUUUACAGUACCUUGUGAGAAAACCACGGGUAACUACAUGCCACCAUACGCGGGAAUACAUAUGUGUCAAGCGUUGUCCGGAAUUAUUGGGCGUAAAGCGCGCGCACGCGGCCUCUCAUAUCUGAUGUGAAAGCCCCCCGGUCUACCGGGGAGAGCCAUUGUAAAAUGUGGGGGUUGAGUAUAUGAGAGAAGAGAGUAAAUCCACGUGUAGCGGUGAAAUGUGUAGAGAUGUGUAGGAACACCACUGGCGAAAGCGACUCUCUUUGGCUAUAAACUGUACGCUGAGGCGCGAAAGCGUGUGGAAUAAAACACGAUUAUAUACCCCUCGGUGAGUACCACACGAUAAACAAAUUAGUGCUAUGUGUUGUGAAGAGUUAUCCGCCGCCUCACUAGGCUGUAUGACUAAUACCACU